AUAUUUACCUGUUAGGGGAGAUACCAUGAUGAUAGUUUUCUCAGAGAGAGGCUUACCCAUUGCACAUGUAUCUUCUGAUUCCUGCAAUUUCCCCAAAUGUGGGAAACUCAACUGCAGAAUUUGUGGUAGUGGGGGGAUGCAUUCAUUCUCUCCCCUG
Sorex araneus (European shrew) is the source of this 157-nucleotide small nuclear RNA. Its record names the gene U1. It matches the Rfam family "U1 spliceosomal RNA". Rfam says of the family: U1 is a small nuclear RNA (snRNA) component of the spliceosome (involved in pre-mRNA splicing). Its 5' end forms complementary base pairs with the 5' splice junction, thus defining the 5' donor site of an intron. The record is from Ensembl. Lineage: Eukaryota; Metazoa; Chordata; Mammalia; Eulipotyphla; Soricidae.